Molecule: long non-coding RNA, 360 nt
Filed under: Nicotiana benthamiana
Lineage: Eukaryota; Viridiplantae; Streptophyta; Magnoliopsida; Solanales; Solanaceae
Description: long non-coding RNA (NBEN_LNC030660)
Source: RNAcentral
GCUUUCAGGAGGAUUCCUUUGGGGAACAGACAUAUGUCCAUCAGAAGGAGGGAAAUCCACACCAGCAGUAAGAUGAGCAGCAGCAGGUCUCUUCCCCUUGUUAAAAUUUGUACUUUGUGGAUACCCAUGAAUCUUGAAACACUUAUCAAUUAAGUGUCCAGAUUUUUUACAGUAUCUGCAGAAUAAAGGCCCUCUGGCUUGAUCACAGUUCUCCUCCCCUUGUUAAAUGUUGUACUUUGUGGAUACCUAUGAAUCUUGAAACACUUAUCAAUUAAGUGCGCAGAUUUUUUGCAGUAUCUACAAAAUAAAGGCCCUCUGGCUUGAUCAAAAUUGACUCUUUGUCUGAAAAGAGGAGAAGGA